This 83-nucleotide small RNA is filed under the name Leishmania major strain Friedlin. RNAcentral's name for it is "Leishmania major c/D snoRNA". Lineage: Eukaryota; Euglenozoa; Kinetoplastea; Trypanosomatida; Trypanosomatidae. The record is from RNAcentral.
CCACGUGAUGAGCCAAUCAUGUUUCACUCUUGUCUGAACCACCCGUUGUGAUUACACGCACACCCGCGAGGUGUGGCUGACCC